Molecule: small nucleolar RNA, 127 nt
Organism: Vicugna pacos (alpaca)
Lineage: Eukaryota; Metazoa; Chordata; Mammalia; Artiodactyla; Camelidae
Source: RefSeq, a predicted model, not a curated record
GUCAAAGUUAUCCCGAUGGAGCUUUUCUGCAGAACAACAUCAUUGGAAACUCCUCGUAGAAUAAACACGUGUUUUGCUUUACUCACAGAACUAUUUUAGAUUUCUGGGAAAGAAUUCUAAGACAGAG